GCCGGGCGUGUUGGCACACGCCUGUAGUCCCAGCUACUCGGGAGGCUGAGGCAGGAGAAUUGCUUGAACCCGGGAGGCAGAGGUUGCGGUGAGCUGAGAUCAUGCCACUGCACUCCAGCCUGGGUGACAGAGCAAGACUCUGUCUCAG
This 148-nucleotide signal recognition particle RNA is filed under the name Pan paniscus (pygmy chimpanzee). Its description in RNAcentral is "Metazoan signal recognition particle RNA". It matches the Rfam family "Metazoan signal recognition particle RNA". From Rfam's summary of the family: The signal recognition particle (SRP) is a universally conserved ribonucleoprotein. It is involved in the co-translational targeting of proteins to membranes. The record is from Rfam by way of RNAcentral. RNAcentral also lists the same sequence under 1 other name. Lineage: Eukaryota; Metazoa; Chordata; Mammalia; Primates; Hominidae.